This 497-nucleotide ribosomal RNA is filed under the name uncultured bacterium. RNAcentral describes it as "partial 16S ribosomal RNA". It matches the Rfam family "Bacterial small subunit ribosomal RNA", at positions 28 to 507 of the family's 1533-position model. The record is from RNAcentral.
GAUGAACGCUGGCGGCGUGCCUAAUACAUGCAAGUCGAGCGAACAGACGAGGAGCUUGCUCCUCUGACGUUAGCGGCGGACGGGUGAGUAACACGUGGAUAACCUACCUAUAAGACUGGGAUAACUUCGGGAAACCGGAGCUAAUACCGGAUAAUAUAUUGAACCGCAUGGUUCAAUAGUGAAAGACGGCUUUGCUGUCACUUAUAGAUGGUUCCGCGCCGCAUUAGUUAGUUGGUAAGGUAACGGCUUACCAAGGCAACGAUGCGUAGCCGACCUGAGAGGGUGAUCGGCCACACUGGAACUGAGACACGGUCCAGACUCCUACGGGAGGCAGCAGUAGGGAAUCUUCCGCAAUGGGCGAAAGCCUGACGGAGCAACGCCGCGUGAGUGAUGAAGGUCUUCGGAUCGUAAAACUCUGUUAUUAGGGAAGAACAGAUGUGUAAGUAACUAUGCACGUCUUGACGGUACCUAAUCAGAAAGCCACGGCUAACUACGUG